Molecule: ribosomal RNA, 253 nt
Filed under: uncultured bacterium
Lineage: Bacteria
Description: partial 16S ribosomal RNA
Rfam family: Bacterial small subunit ribosomal RNA
Source: RNAcentral
UACGUAGGGUGCAAGCGUUGUCCGGAAUUAUUGGGCGUAAAGAGCUCGUAGGCGGUUUGUCGCGUCUGCUGUGAAAGCCCGGGGCUCAACCCCGGGUCUGCAGUGGGUACGGGCAGACUAGAGUGCAGUAGGGGAGACUGGAAUUCCUGGCGUAGCGGUGAAAUGCGCAGAUAUCAGGAGGAACACCGAUGGCGAAGGCAGGUCUCUGGGCUGUAACUGACGCUGAGGAGCGAAAGCAUGGGGAGCGAACAGG